Molecule: long non-coding RNA, 1371 nt
Filed under: Taeniopygia guttata (zebra finch)
Lineage: Eukaryota; Metazoa; Chordata; Aves; Passeriformes; Estrildidae
Description: lncRNA (ENSTGUG00000026828.1)
Source: RNAcentral
AUGGAAUUUUCUGGGAAUUUCUGCAUUUUUCUGGAAUUUUGGGAUGAGGGAUUUUGGGAUUUUCCACCCUGGAAUUGCAGAAUUCCCAUCGGAAUCGGCGCUGCCGUUGUCUCACCCGCAUCUUCUCCGGAGCCACCCCCCAGCAGGAGCCCUGAGACCGAAUUCCGGGAUUUUCCGGGAAUUUUCUGGGAAUUUCUGGAGUUUUCCGAAAUUUUGGGAUCUUUGGGAUCUGGGAUUUGGGGAUUUUCCCCCCGGAAUUGGGACGGAUUCCUUCGGGAUUGGAGUUUUUCAGGAUCUUCUCCGGCGCCGCCCCGCACCAGGAGCCAUGAGACCGAAUUCCGGGAAUUUUAUGGAAUUUUCUGUGAUUUUCCGGAAUUUUCCAGGAUUUUGGGAUCCGGGAUUUUGGGGAUUUCCCCUGGUGGAAUUGCAGAAUUCCCAUCGGAAUUGGCGCUGCCGGCAUCUCACCACCAUCUUCUCUGGAGCCGCGCCCUACCUGGCGCCCUGACCGGGAUUUUCCGGAAUUUUCUGGGAUUUUCCGGGAUUUUCCAGGAUUUUGGGAUCCGGGAUUUGGGGAUUUUCCCCCGGAAUUGCAGAAUUCCCAUCGGAAUUGGCGCUGCCGAAGCUUCGCCCGCAUCUUCUCCGGGGCCGCGCCGCACCAGGAGCCCUGAGACGGAAUUCCGGGAUUUUCCGGGAAUUUCCAGGAAUUUUCCGGAAUUUUCUGCAUUUUCUGGAAUUUUGGGAUCUUUGGGAUCCGGGAUUUUGGGAUUUCCCCCCUGGAAUUGCAGAAUUCCCAUCGGGAUUUUCUGGGAAUUUUCCGUGAUUUUGGGAUUCUUGGGGAUCUGUUUGGGAUCUGGGAUUUUGGAAUUCUUUGGGAUUUUCGGGCUCCGGGAUUUUGGGAUUUCCCCCCUGGAAUUGCAGAAAUCCCAUCGGGAUUUUCGGGAAUUUUCCGGGAUUUGGGGAUUCUUUGGGAUCAAUUUUGGGGUCCGGGAAUUUGGGAUUGUUUGGGAUUGGGGAUUUUGGGUUUUUUGGGAUCAAUUUUGGGUCCGGGAUUUUGGGAUUUCCCCCCUGGAAUUGGGACGGAUCCCUCGGGAUCAGAACUUCCCUGAAAUUCCAGAACAUUCCAGGAGGAUCCAGAACUUUCCAUGGAAUUCCAGAAAUUCCGGAACUUUCCAUGGAAUUCCAGAACUUCUCACGGAAUUCCAGAAAUUCCAGAACUUUCCAUGGAAUUCCAGCACAUUCCAGAGGGGACCAAGAACAUUUCUGGGGGAUCCAGAAUUUUCCAUGGAAUUCCGGAACUUUUCCAGACCCUUCCAGGGGCUUCCAGAAAUUCCAGAACUUUCCACGGAAUUCCAGAACUUCCCAUGGAAUUGA